AGUGAACGCUGGCGGUAGGCCUAACACAUGCAAGUCGAACGGCAGCACAGUAAGAGCUUGCUCUUACGGGUGGCGAGUGGCGGACGGGUGAGGAAUACAUCGGAAUCUACUUUUUCGUGGGGGAUAACGUAGGGAAACUUACGCUAAUACCGCAUACGACCUACGGGUGAAAGCAGGGGAUCUUCGGACCUUGCGCGAUUGAAUGAGCCGAUGUCGGAUUAGCUAGUUGGCGGGGUAAAGGCCCACCAAGGCGACGAUCCGUAGCUGGUCUGAGAGGAUGAUCAGCCACACUGAAACUGAGACACGGUCCAGACUCCUACGGGAGGCAGCAGUGGGGAAUAUUGGACAAUGGGCGCAAGCCUGAUCCAGCCCUGCCGCGUGGGUGAAGAAGGCCUUCGGGUUGUAAAGCCCUUUUGUUGGGAAAGAAAAGCAGCAGGUUAAUACCCCGCUGUUCUGACGGUACCCAAAGAAUAAGCACCGGCUACCUUCGU
Molecule: ribosomal RNA, 491 nt
Filed under: uncultured bacterium
Lineage: Bacteria
Description: partial 16S ribosomal RNA
Rfam family: Bacterial small subunit ribosomal RNA
Source: RNAcentral